Molecule: long non-coding RNA, 938 nt
Filed under: Gossypium barbadense (sea-island cotton)
Lineage: Eukaryota; Viridiplantae; Streptophyta; Magnoliopsida; Malvales; Malvaceae
Description: long non-coding RNA (GBAR_LNC020559)
Source: RNAcentral
UUAGAGGUGGCAAAGGAGCAGUUCUAGGCAUUUCUUGUUUGGAUCAUUUUGGAUUCAAGCCUUUCGGGUUUGGGUUAGUCUUUUUCUUUUGAGGUUUUAUGAAAGAUGCGACUACUCCAACAUGCUUUUCGAGGUCAUGGUUGGCGUUUUCUUUAGGCUCGAAUCUUUUGGAUUCAGAUUUUUUCCUUUUCUUUUUUCAAAUUGAAUUUGAGCUUUUUGAGCGGUUUUUCAAGUUUGAGUUCGUUUUGCUGUCUCUAGAUAGAAUAGUAAACAUCAGGUAGGCUUUUGGAGAUAUUCAGCCCCUCCAAAAUUUGAAGCCAUGAUAUUUAGCCAAUAUGAAAGUGACCUCUACUUGAUGAAGCACUGUUUGCCAAACCCUGGCAUGUGUUUUCAGCAUUUGUGUUGUACAAAGUUAGGCGUGGGAUGUUCCCAAAUUGUACAUGUCACGGUUGAACCGUAAUUGCAUGCGACUCCUUUGACUUUCCCCCGAAUUCAUCAAACACAACCUGUUCCAAUGUAGCAGGUUGAAAUUAGACGGUCCAAACUAAUCUGGAGUAUCAUUCUGUUUUCCAAAUUGUGGUCAUCUUAUGGGAUUUAGUUAACAAAGGAAUAUUGAUCAGCGUUACAAUUUUGCAACCUCUUUCUUUUAUUUCCUGGGCUUUAUUUAUUUAUUGGUGGGUGCAUUCCAUUCAGUUGGUUAACCAUUACUGUAUUUUUAAGAGGGUAGAAAGGUUCUUGUUUCCUAUUUCAGGUGUUGCUUUCUAUCUGCUCCCUCUUGACGGACCCAAACCCAGAUGACCCUCUGGUUCCGGAAAUCGCUCACAUGUACAAGACAGACAGCUAAGUAUGAGUCAACUGCUAGGAUCUGGACCCAGAAAUAUGCAAUGGGCUAGUCUAAUAAAUUGGUAAGAAAAAGUUUAGGAUAUUGUUUCCUCAUU